Molecule: ribosomal RNA, 293 nt
Filed under: uncultured bacterium
Lineage: Bacteria
Description: partial 16S ribosomal RNA
Rfam family: Bacterial small subunit ribosomal RNA
Source: RNAcentral
GUGUCAGCAGCCGCGGUAAUACAGAGGGUGCGAGCGUUGUCCGGAAUCACUGGGCGUAAAGGGCGCGUAGGCGGUGACUUAAGCGUGCGGUGAAAGCUCGGGGCUCAACCCCGAGUCGGCCGUGCGAACUGGGUCACUUGAGCGUAUCAGAGGCAGGCGGAAUUCCGGGUGUAGCGGUGGAAUGCGUAGAGAUCCGGAAGAACACCGGUGGCGAAGGCGGCCUGCUGGGAUACUUGCUGACGCUGAGGCGCGACAGCGUGGGGAGCAAACAGGAUUAGAUACCCUGGUAGUCC